RNAcentral lists this non-coding RNA (29 nucleotides) under Mus musculus (house mouse). The record is from RNAcentral. Lineage: Eukaryota; Metazoa; Chordata; Mammalia; Rodentia; Muridae.
UGAGUUUCUGUCCUAAAUGGCUAGGGUGA